Misgurnus anguillicaudatus (oriental weatherfish) is the source of this 569-nucleotide non-coding RNA. The record is from RefSeq and is a predicted model, not a curated record. NCBI's taxonomy places the organism in Eukaryota, Metazoa, Chordata, Actinopteri, Cypriniformes, Cobitidae.
GACAACUGGAUCUGAAGCGUAAUGAUGGUCUUCAGAAGGCCUCUCAUGGUGGUCUUGAUUCAGAGGUUUGAGAAGACUACCAAGCACCAGAGCCAGCUAACAGGUGGACCAAACAUCAAGCCAGAAUUCUGCAUGAGUCAGAAUUUAUGUCUUUUGAUAUUAUUGCCUAAUGCAACAAAUGGAAAAAAGCAUACUUUAUGACAACCUUAGCAGCAGAACACCAUGACUUUCUCCUGGGUAGACGAGAAAAAAAGUUUGGUAUCAACACCCAUCUAACAAUUAAGAAAGUUAUCUACAGCCACACAUCCACUGUAUACCAAGUUAUGAUGAUCAAUUAUGAGAAUGCAAAAUGAUUUAUAGAUCAGUAAACAAUCAACAAAAAGGUAAUGUCUUAAUUAAUAUAUUUCUGCUUUUGUUACUUAUUCAUGUAUUUGAAUUACAUCAUUCAAAAUCAAAUGUUAAUAAUUAUAGGGUUUCAACUUGUUGCAGCUUUACAAAAAAUGUAGAAUUUGUAGGAGCAUGGACAACUGAGUAACAAAGUCAUAUUAUGCAGAUGGGUGCUCAUGGUG